GCGAACGGGUGAGUAAUAUAUCGGAACGUACCAUUCAGUGGGGGGUAACGUAGCGAAAGUUACGCUAAUACCGCAUAUUCUGUGAGCAGGAAAGCAGGGGAUCGCAAGACCUUGCGCUGAUUGAGCGGCCGAUAUCAGAUUAGCUUGUUGGUGAGGUAAAAGCUCACCAAGGCGACGAUCUGUAGCGGGUCUGAGAGGAUGAUCCGCCACACUGGAACUGAGACACGGUCCAGACUCCUACGGGAGGCAGCAGUGGGGAAUUUUGGACAAUGGGGGCAACCCUGAUCCAGCCAUGCCGCGUGAGUGAAGAAGGCCUUCGGGUUGUAAAGCUCUUUCAGCCGGGAAGAAAACGCAUGGGUUAAUACCCUGUGUGGAUGACGGUACCGGAAUAAGAAGCACCGGCUAACUACGUGCCAGCAGCCGCGGUAAUACGUAGGGUGCGAGCGUUAAUCGGAAUUACUGGGCGUAAAGCGUGCGCAGGCGGUUUUGUAAGACAGGCGUGAAAUCCCCGGGCUUAACCUGGGAACUGCGUUCGUGACUGCAAGGCUAGAGUACGGCAGAGGGGGGUGGAAUUCCACGUGUAGCAGUGAAAUGCGUAGAGAUGUGGAGGAACACCAAUGGCGAAGGCAGCCCCCUGGGUCGAUACUGACGCUCAUGCACGAAAGCGUGGGUAGCAAACAGGAUUAGAUACCCUGGUAGUCCACGCCCUAAACGAUGUCAACUAGGUGUUGGGAGGGUAAAACCUUUUAGUACCGGAGCUAACGCGUGAAGUUGACCGCCUGGGGAGUACGGCCGCAAGGUUAAAACUCAAAGGAAUUGACGGGGACCCGCACAAGCGGUGGAUGAUGUGGAUUAAUUCGAUGCAACGCGAAAAACCUUACCUACCCUUGACAUGCCAAGAACUUUCCAGAGAUGGAUUGGUGCCCGAAAGGGAACUUGGACACAGGUGCUGCAUGGCUGUCGUCAGCUCGUGUCGUGAGAUGUUGGGUUAAGUCCCGCAACGAGCGCAACCCUUGUCGUUAAUUGCCAUCAUUUAGUUGGGCACUUUAACGAGACUGCCGGUGACAAACCGGAGGAAGGUGGGGAUGACGUCAAGUCCUCAUGGCCCUUAUGGGUAGGGCUUCACACGUCAUACAAUGGUCGGUACAAAGGGUCGCCAAGCCGCGAGGUGGAGCCAAUCCCAGAAAGCCGAUCGUAGUCCGGAUCGCAGUCUGCAACUCGACUGCGUGAAGUCGGAAUCGCUAGUAAUCGUGGAUCAGAAUGUCACGGUGAAUACGUUCCCGGGUCUUGUACACACCGCC
RNAcentral lists this ribosomal RNA (1301 nucleotides) under metagenome. RNAcentral describes it as "bacterial SSU rRNA". It matches the Rfam family "Bacterial small subunit ribosomal RNA", at positions 98 to 1394 of the family's 1533-position model. The record is from RNAcentral.